GAUGAAGAACGUAGCGAAAUGCGAUAAGUAAUGUGAAUUGCAGAAUUCAGUGAAUCAUCGAAUCUUUGAACGCACAUUGCGCCCAUUAGUAUUCUAGUGGGCAUGCCUGUUCGAGCGUCAUUAAUUCCACUUAAGCCCUGCUUAGUGUUGGGAAUCUACUCUAGUGGUGCUACCCUGGAGCUACCCCUGAAAGGGGGCUGGCCCGGUAGCUACCCUGUAGUUCCUCAAAGAUAGUGCGCGGAGUUGCGUGGUCCUCUGAGCUUAGUAACUAUACACCUAGCUUUUGAGUGUCCCGCGGCGCCUGCCGUUUAAACCCCAUCUUUUAAUGGUUGACCUCGGAUCAGGUAGGACUACCCGCUGAACUUAAGCAUAUCAAUAAGCGGAGGA
This 387-nucleotide unclassified non-coding RNA is filed under the name soil metagenome. RNAcentral describes it as "partial contains 5.8S ribosomal RNA, internal transcribed spacer 2, and large subunit ribosomal RNA". The stretch from base 1 to 120 matches the Rfam family "5.8S ribosomal RNA", at positions 35 to 154 of the family's 154-position model. The record is from RNAcentral.